UUCUUAAUGCAAGGGAAAGUUGGUGGCUAUGCAUCAGUCUUUGAGAAGUACCACGAGAAGAGGGUGCAAAUGGCCAUGAAGAUUGCAGCAAUAGCAGAUGGUUGGUACCAAAUCAAUCCUAGCUUUUUGGCUUUUCGAAACAAUAUAUUGUCAAGAUGCAAAAAAUAGUUAUCAAGGUGCAAAUGACUUGCGACAAUGGAGAACCAAGGGCAUGAAGAUUG
Quercus lobata is the source of this 221-nucleotide long non-coding RNA. RefSeq lists it as uncharacterized. The transcript is spliced from 3 exons. The record is from RefSeq and is a predicted model, not a curated record. NCBI's taxonomy places the organism in Eukaryota, Viridiplantae, Streptophyta, Magnoliopsida, Fagales, Fagaceae.